Molecule: ribosomal RNA, 253 nt
Filed under: uncultured bacterium
Lineage: Bacteria
Description: partial 16S ribosomal RNA
Rfam family: Bacterial small subunit ribosomal RNA
Source: RNAcentral
UACGGAGGGCGCAAGCGUUGUUCGGAAUCACUGGGCGUAAAGCGCGUGCAGGCGGCUUGGCAAGUCGGGUGUGAAAGCCCGGGGCCCAACCCCGGAACGGCAUCCGAAACUGCCUAGCUCGAGUCCCGGAGAGGGUGGCGGAAUUUCCGGUGUAGAGGUGGAAUUCGUAGAUAUCGGAAGGAACACCAGUGGCGAAGGCGGCCACCUGGACGGUGACUGACGCUGAGACGCGAAAGCGUGGGGAGCAAACAGG